UUUUGGACAAUGGGCGAAAGCCUGAUCCAGCAAUGCCGCGUGUGGGAAGAAGGCCUUCGGGUUGUAAACCACUUUUGUACGGAACGAAAAGGUCUGCCCUAAUACGGUGGGCCCAUGACGGUACCGUAAGAAUAAGCACCGGCUAACUACGUGCCAGCAGCCGCGGUAAUACGUAGGGUGCGAGCGUUAAUCGGAGUUACUGGGCGUAAAGCGUGCGCAGGCGGUUAUAUAAGACAGUUGUGAAAUCCCCGGGCUCAACCUGGGACCUGCAUUUGUGACUGUAUAGCUAGAGUACGGUAGAGGGGGAUGGAAUUCCGCGUGUAGCAGUGAAAUGCGUAGAUAUGCGGAGGAACACCGAUGGCGAAGGCAAUCCCCUGGACCUGUACUGACGCUCAUGCACGAAA
Molecule: ribosomal RNA, 404 nt
Filed under: uncultured bacterium
Lineage: Bacteria
Description: bacterial SSU rRNA
Rfam family: Bacterial small subunit ribosomal RNA
Source: RNAcentral